GGAUAACAUACCGAAAGGUAUGCUAAUACGGGAUAAUAUAUUUGAGAGGCAUCUCUUAAAUAUCAAAGGUGAGCCAGUACAGGAUGGACCCGCGUCUGAUUAGCUAGUUGGUAAGGUAACGGUUUACCAAGGCGACGAUCAGUAGCCGACCUGAGAGGGUGAUCGGCCACAUUGGAACUGAGACACGGUCCAAACUCCUACGGGAGGCAGCAGUGGGGAAUAUUGCACAAUGGGCGAAAGCCUGAUGCAGCAACGCCGCGUGAGUGAUGAAGGCCUUCGGGUCGUAAAACUCUGUCCUCAAGGAAGAUAAUGACGGUACUUGAGGAGGAAGCCCCGGCUAACUACGUGCCAGCAGCCGCGGUAAUACGUAGGGGGCUAGCGUUAUCCGGAUUUACUGGGCGUAAAGGGUGCGUAGGCGGUCUUUCAAGUCAGGAGUGAAAGGCUACGGCUCAACCGUAGUAAGCUCUUGAAACUGGGAGACUUGAGUGCAGGAGAGGAGAGUGGAAUUCCUAGUGUAGCGGUGAAAUGCGUAGAUAUUAGGAGGAACACCAGUUGCGAAGGCGGCUCUCUGGACUGUAACUGACGCUGAGGCACGAAAGCGUGGGGAGCAAACAGGAUUAGAUACCCUGGUAGUCCACGCUGUAAACGAUGAGUACUAGGUGUCGGGGGUUACCCCCCUCGGUGCCGCAG
This 690-nucleotide ribosomal RNA is filed under the name uncultured bacterium. RNAcentral's name for it is "bacterial SSU rRNA". It matches the Rfam family "Bacterial small subunit ribosomal RNA", at positions 141 to 851 of the family's 1533-position model. The record is from RNAcentral.